RNAcentral lists this ribosomal RNA (253 nucleotides) under uncultured bacterium. RNAcentral's name for it is "partial 16S ribosomal RNA". It matches the Rfam family "Bacterial small subunit ribosomal RNA", at positions 524 to 776 of the family's 1533-position model. The record is from RNAcentral.
GACAGAGGGGGCAAGCGUUGCUCGGAAUUACUGGGCGUAAAGGGCGCGUAGGCGGGAUGGCAAGUCGGUCGUGAAAUCCUUCGGCUCAACCGAAGAACGUCGAUCGAUACUGCUGUUCUUGAGGGUUGCAGAGGAGACUGGAAUUCCCGGUGUAGCGGUGAAAUGUGUAGAGAUCGGGAGGAACACCGGUGGCGAAGGCGGUUCUCUGGGCAUGUUCUGACGCUGAGGAGCGAAAGUGUGGGGAGCGAACAGG